Molecule: long non-coding RNA, 338 nt
Organism: Zophobas morio
Lineage: Eukaryota; Metazoa; Arthropoda; Insecta; Coleoptera; Tenebrionidae
Exons: 3
Source: RefSeq, a predicted model, not a curated record
GAUACUGAAACCAAAUUAAUCAACAACAACACCACUUCACCUUUUCACCUCUCACACCCGCGUGUAUCUAAAAUAGAUUUAAGCAACGGCAACGAACUCCACUCUUGGCAAGGCGAAUCUAAAAAAAAAAACUUGCGAAAACCACAAACAAAAUAUGUUAUAUUGGUCCAAGUCGAUUGUUCCUUUCCUUAAAAAAAAGCUUUACAAUUAGAAACCCAUAGAGAGGUACUUAAAAUCACUACUAUAGGAGAUAGUAGUAAGUUUCAACUUCAACCGAAAAAGAUUCGACUGACCUUUACAAACUUACUACUGCCGGGCUUCAUGGGAGACUUUGAGCA